GUCAUGCAUUAUAAGCAAAGGCAGGUUGAGCUGAAAUCCGCAUAGAUAUUUCAGAGUAAAAUGAUACGCGAGCACAUGGCUCUUAGCAAAAAAAAAAAAAAAAGUCACAUGACUUAAGAAGCAGGCUUGUGCUGUUUCAAAGAGAGGACUUCUUUUUUUCUUACCCAAGAGUAGAUGGAGAAGAGUGUUUGUACAAAACAAACAUUCAUAUGAUAUGUAAUAUUUUCAGUGUUCUUAUUCUGUUAACUGAGAAAAGGUCAAGGGUUAAGGGGUUUUUGUGUGUGAAAGGGCCACAAGCCCUUUUGUUAAGAAAGCUUUAGUGAAUGCCUAAUAAGAUUUUGCUUUUCUUUCAAUCUAAACUAUUAUUAUAAGUUUGAUGAGCAUGAAAAUACUUAAUCUCUACCACUCUGAAUGGAUUUUCUUCUUAAGAUUUUUUUUAUUAUUCAGAACGGAGAUAGUUUCAUAAUGUUUACUUGUCCAAAACAUCUUCAGUUUAUUUACUUAUUUUGUCAACCUUGAUGUUCCUAAAAUGGUUUGCAGAAUGGAUACAGCGUUGUUUUAAUUGCUUUAAAUCUACAGUUAAUGGUUUUUCUUUUUAUAAAGAAAAUGUAAAUGUUGUUUUCUCAAGAAUAAGGUAUAUAUUUUUGGACAGCCAUGUGUGAGUGAUAACAGUAUGUUCAUUUAAAAUAUUAACUAUUUUUUACCCUUGUGGUAUCUGACAUAUUUAGAGUACUAGAACACCGUUAGCAAAAUAUUAUUUUAAUUAAGCAUCUAUUUUUUUCUGUGGAGUCACACAACUGGGAAAAUGACUUGGUUACCAAAACCUGUAAGGUCAUGUUUAUAAUACGGAAAUAUUUGUGUUGGAUAAUAUAUAAUAUAUUGGGUAAUAUAGAUUGUAUAUAUUGGAUAAUAUAGAUUCUAUUGAGUAUCUGUAAAGUUUGUACAAAUAUGUACAUUAUUAUUUUGCUGUUAUUUGUUCAUGACAGUGUUUUAUGGAAUGCAUAAUUAUAGAAUUUAAAUUAAAGUGAUUAAUAUUUAGUAAAACACUAUCAUUUCUCAAGAUACAUUAUAAAGUAUUAAAACUGGGAGCUCCAUGGUGUGUGUUUGAAAGUAAGAAUGCUUGGAUGGCAAUACAGUUAGUUGAAUAAUGAUAACACCAUGCUUUUCAAGGAGAGGGGGAGUCUUUUAGUAUAUCAUUUGGAACAGGAGGAAGUAAGAGGACUGGACAAAACAAAUAUAUCCAAACACUUAGGAGAAAUCUAAGUGUAACAUAAAUGUUAACAAUUGUCAUGUUGUCUUUAAAAAAGAAACCAUUGGUGUUCAUCAGAUAAUUUAUGGUAUAUAUAUUAAUUAUUAAGUUCUCCUUAUGAUUUCAGGUUCUGCAGAUUCAACUUAACUUAAUUAGUUUGAGCGAGGUUUUUAUUUUUAAUGAGACUUAAUGAUACUGAUAUACUGUAUUAUACUAAUUAUGGGAUAAUGCUCUAUUCCUUAUGUAACCAAGAAACAAUAAACCUAGAUUUUAUACUGACUGUUACGAGAUACUUCUAAUUUUUCAUCCCCACAAUACAGCACAAAAUAACUAUAUAUUUGCAAACAUAAAAAUAUGCUUACUGUCAGUGAUGCAUGUACCAUGCUUACUGUUCAGCUGAAGCCUUAUACGGUUGUAUUUAUUAGUUCCAAAUAAAGAAUCUUUAGACAAAAGACUGCACGUGAAGCAUAUUGCCUGUAGAUAUUUUUUAAAAACUAAUUUGUAUGCAGCCAAAUGCAAGGUUUAUAUGAUUUGUGUUGUGUUUGCUUUAAGAACAGGGCUUCAUUUUCCUUUUUUUAAAAAAGACAGAACCUGGUGAUGCUAUAAUGUUGAGCAGUGAUUUAGUAUUGUAGUGCAUAUACAUAUAUAACUUUUAGCAAGACUCAAACCAUAAACAUGACCCCCCCCCCAAAAAAAAUUGAUAUACAUUCUUAAAACUUUUGAGUCAUUGGAGGACAUGAGGAUAUUAAUGUGUAUGGGACUUCUUGUGCUGUGUAUACUCUUUCAAUCCAUCCACACUCUUCUGCCAUACUAUAUCCUCCGGAUAUUGAUAUCUUUGAUCCAUGGAGUAGCUUCAUUGUUUAUAUCAAUGUGUUAUGAGGGAAGUUAGAUCAACAGUGUCGUAGAAUGAUCACUAGUGUGGGCGCGGUGGUCUCCAAGCUUCAUAGUAAUGAAGUGUAAUUGGCCAAUUAAUGUGCUCUAGGGUAGGUGAAGAAUGCAGUUUAUUGCAGUGUACAGAUUUAAAAUUUUGUCUCAAAAUAUGUAAUCAUAACACAUAGCCUAGCUACAUAUUACACUUUCAUGGUUUGAUAUUAGGUGGAAUUUGAUGAACAAGGUGACAAAGGGUAAAUUUCAUUCAGAGGACCCGUUUGCACUAAACGGUUAAAGCAGUGUCAUACCACUUUAAGCAGUUAUAGCUUACUCCAAGGAAUCCUGGGAACUGUGGUUUGUUUGUGCUGAGCAAUGUCAGGAGACCCAUAUUCCCCUCACAGGUCUACAAUUCCCUUAGAGGUUUAACAGUCAAUAAAUCUUCCCAGGGAACUCUGUGAAUUGUAGGGGAACAGAGGCCUCCUUACGACUCUCAGCAUCCUUAACAAACUACACUUCCUGGGAUUUUGUGGGGGGAGGUAUGACAGUUUAAAGUGGUAUGAUACUACUUUAAAUGUGUAGUGUAGAUUGGACCAGAAGUCUCAGCUAUCAGAACCUGGCUACGUCUCACACUGCUCACAUCAUUUAAGGGACAUUUAUGGGACAUCUAUCAAUAAGGGGGCUGCAGCACAUCAUCACCUCCCUAACUUGAAUGCUCCUGUUCAAGAUUCCAGCUAGCUAUGCCCACCUUUAGACCAUAGCUGUCAACUUACAGAUUUGAAAAUCAGGGACCAGCAGCCAAAAUAAGGGACCUGCAACCUCACCUGUUCCAGGCACUCCAGUCUUCCUGUCCUCCUGCAGUCUGGUCAAACUCAUGCUGGUAGCUUCGAGAACACUGUCCAACCAACAUUGUAACCAGAGGUUCAACUGAAUAGAAUCUGAAUCGCAUUCACCACAAGGCCUAUAAGGCCUAUGCAGCCUCAACUUAAGAUGGCUCCCCGGCCUGGCUUUGCACUGCAAAGUUUGCAGCAGCAUGUGCAACAAAAUGGUGUCCAGCAUUCAAAAAACCCCUCAGCUUGCAUUAACUAGCCACACACAAGGCAUGCAAGCGCCACCCCCCCAGUCAUUCUUAGACUUCUUAUUGGGUGAGCAACACAGCCAAGCAACACAGUUGGAGCCUCCCUCCUCCCUGGCCGGCAGGGAGGGAGGGAGGGAUAGGAGCUGCUUCCUUUGAAAUUUAAGGGACAUCAUUUAAGGGACAUUUAAGGGACAUCUAUUGAUAAGGGACAGCAGUGGGACAUGGCGCUGGAAUAAGGGACUGUCCCUUCAAAUAAGGGACACUUGACAGCUAUGCUUUAGACUACUAAAAUGCAAAGGGCUCAAGCAGGGCAUUUUACUCUCCUGGCUUGGUCCCCCCUGAUUUUCUCAACAUUUUAUGGUUGCUUAACAUGUUCAGUUCCUAUUUCACAGUUUUAAGGGGAUUUGUUCCUGGAACUUUUUCUUAUUAAAAUAUUUUUGUAGUUCUGGAAACCUUGGGGUGGAAACCUGCUGAUAUUUCCCUCUUGUUUCUUUGACACCCUAAUUUGGAUUCAAUCCUUCUGGCACUCACCCCUUAAGUUUGCUGUUAGAAGAGGGAUGUACCUGGGCUCUCAGUUUCUGGAAACAAUUUGGAAGUGUUAGGGGAUCCCUAGCAACCAUUGGCAUGCUUUCUUUAGUUUUCAGCUCCUCUCAAAAAUGGGAACUAUUAUUAUCUCCAGCCAGCAAUGAGGAAAAGGUUGGAGAGGUACCCUAGAAGAUUACCACAUCAAGAAGAGUCUGAAAGGACUUCUACUUUUAAGAGUUGAAUAUGAACUAACAUUCCAUGAACUGCAGAGUAGUUGUAGAGAGAAACAAGUGAAAGUCUAUAGUUGCCAAAAGUCUAUAGUAGACUUCAGUGAAAGUCUAUAGUAGCCAAAGAGAGAGGAGUUCCUGGCAAGUAUGCCUAAGAUUUCAGCCUUAAUCUUUCAGUUUUUGCAUUUCUUUUUGUAAUGUGAAAACAGUAGCAGCACCUUUCUAGUUUGGCCACAUUGUUUGGAAAAAUGCUUAGGUCUUAAAAGUCCUAUGAGUUCUUCCCUGACAACAGAGCUGCCUGCCCUCAAGCCCGUAAAGCAGUUUUCAUGGCUGAGUAUCCCGCAGCACCACAUUUCUUUCUAGAGAACCCACUUGACCUAGUUUCUAUCACUAUAUUAUUUACUUUUUUUAUUAAGCAUGCUUAGCAAAAUACAGACCUUGUUGUUAGAACCAAGUCAAAAACAACAAGUAGGCACAUUAAUGGUACAAAGUGUUUAUUUAUUAAAUUGUACUUAGCAUCAUAGAAUCAUAGAUUUGUAGAGUUGAUACCACAGGGUCAUCUAGUUCAACUCUUGGCAAUGCAGGAAUCUCAACUAGAUUAUACAUGAAGAAGAAGAGUUUGGAUUUGAUAUCCCGCCUUUCACUCCCUUUAAGGAGUCUCAAAGCGGCUAACAUUCUCCUUUCCCUUCCUCCCCCACAACAAACACUCUGUGAGGUGAGUGGGGCUGAGAGACUUCAGAGAAGUGUGACUGGCCCAAGGUCACCCAGCAGCUGCAUGUGGAGGAGUGGAGACACGAACCCGGUUCCCCAGAUUUACCACUACACCACACUGAUUGUCAUCCAAGCUUUGCUUAAAAACCUCCAAGGAAGGUGAAUUCACCACCUCUUGUGGAAGUCUGUUCCAUUACUGAAUAGUUCUUACUGUCAGAAAGUUCUUCCUGAUGUUUAGUCAGAAUCUCCUUUCUUGUAAUUUGAAGAUCCUAGCCUGUGGAGCAGGAGGAAACAAGCUUGCUCCAUCCUUCAUAUGACAGCUCUUUAGCUAUUGGAAGAUGACUAUCCUAUCUCCUUUCAGCUUCUCUGCAAGGCAGUCAUGGGGAACUUUGUCAACAGUCUUACUGAACUCAAGAUAUACUAUGUUCACUGCUUUCUCCUGAUCCACAAAAAUAGUAACU
This is a non-coding RNA of Podarcis lilfordi (Lilford's wall lizard), 5118 nucleotides long. Lineage: Eukaryota; Metazoa; Chordata; Lepidosauria; Squamata; Lacertidae. The record is from the annotation of a GenBank genome assembly.